RNAcentral lists this long non-coding RNA (6866 nucleotides) under Triticum aestivum (bread wheat). RNAcentral describes it as "long non-coding RNA (TAES_LNC006842)". Lineage: Eukaryota; Viridiplantae; Streptophyta; Magnoliopsida; Poales; Poaceae. The record is from RNAcentral.
UGUCGUCUGCUGUUGGUUGUUGUGCUUUGCAUGUCCUAAGAGGAUAGUAAUAUUAGCAGCAACUUAUUGACGACCAAUAACUUAGAAGAAGCAGAUUAUUGUGAGUCUAUGAGUAAUAGAUGGGCUGGUAACACAUAUGCUUGCUAUGUAACCAUGUACAAGACAAUUAUCGAUCGAUCCAUUAAAUAUUGAUUUCAUAAUCUGGAACAACAGUUCUUCAACAAUCAGUAUAUAUCAGGAAAAACAUAGGAACAAUACACUUCCUACCAAAACAUAUGUGCCCUCUAAAAUCAGAGUCAAUAUGGACAAACAUAGUAAUUAUGUGAAAAUCUCGAUCCUGACUAACAGAGGAGUAUUUUAAGAUUUUUCUGUAAUACAUCAUGAUCCUUUAAAUCGCAACUUGUAAUGAUUUUAGUACAUUAGAGUAAGGCCCAGGCAAUCCCAAUCUUUAGUGCUUACGCAUUCUGUAUAUCAUCUAGUGGUUUCGCAAGUAUUGGUGACAGUGCAGCUAGCCCACAAAAACAUGACAGCAAUCUUCAGGUCACAAAGAAGCUAUUCUAUUUCUUUUUACAAACGUACACAAGAGGAUCGACUACUUUGGCUCUUAUCUACCGGCUUCUUUUUUCUCUAAGGACAGAAGAAAAGACUACUGGUCAGCUGAAUCAUGACCACCUUUAGAUUCGUGUAAUUAUAGGAUCGACUACUUUGGUUCUAUAUUAUCUACCAGCUUCUUUCUUCUCUGAACACAGAAGAAAAACCUACUGGUCAGCUGAAUCAUCACCACCUUCAGAUUCGUGUAAAUAUACCCAGGAGCACCAACAAACAAAAUUAUAUUCAAAUUCCAUGACAGGUAAAAGUACCUAGUUAUGAUGCAUACGGCUUGCCAACAAACUAACAGGUGCUUCAGAUUUUUCUAACUAUGUGAGUACCCCCUAGUUCAGUCAUGGAGUAUAUUCAUUUCAUUUCAGUGCAUACAUUUCAUUUCAUUUCAUUUCAGUGUACAACAACAGAAAAGGAGCAAAGCAACCAGCAAUGGAGAAGAGGCACUGACCGUGGACAAGGGAGGAGAGGCUGCCGUUGGGGUAGUAGUCGCUCCUCCUCUGCCUGCUCCACGUCGACGGCCACACGCCCAAGCCUCGACGCCAUCUUUGUACUUCCCUUGGCGGCUACAAAACUGGCUAGUAACAUGAAAACACAUAGCAGCCCCAAGCACUAAAUUAGCCUUGUAAGACAGCAAAUAAACAAAGCAAAUAAUAGAUCAAAUUAACCACGCAAAGCACAACAGCAAUAAUAAUCAAACAAUUCGUACAUCAUACAUAGAAGCCACAUUUUACAUAGGAAUGCACCUUCCUGACAGCACAUCCAUAAGUCGAGUGACAACUACCAUUUUCUAGAGAUCGUAUCUGCCAUGCAAUUGGUUUGCUUGGUAGCCACUGUAACACAAAAUGAGCAUCCAGAACAACGGUCCUAGGUUCUACCAGAAACAAUACAAGAAACCAAAAGCAUAUGCCACACUCCACUGAAGGCAAUGCACCACGUAGUAGACCGACACAGACAACAACCUUGGCAGAGAAAACUACAUGGCAGUUCUCGAUGGGAGGGGGAUCACCACAUCGUAGGUGGUGUGGCUUGCCGAGCGUUUCCUGCAAAUAGGUGGGCAACCAUAUAUGAGAACUCCAGCACAUGGAAGGGAAGAAAAGGAGGUCAUGUAAACAUCUGAAAGUUGCAUGGUGAGACAUUUCUUAGUAAACAUUGUCUUUCAAAACAACCUGGUAGAAAAGCUAAGAUACAAGGGCAAUUUCUAUUUUUUGUGAAGCUUACUUGUCCUCUCAAAUGCAUAGGUAGAAAAAUAGAUCAACCUCAACAUUUAAUAGAACUCAACAGAACAACCAACAACUAAAUAUCUGCUUAUCAUAUAAUUACAAACUGGAAACUGGGAACAAACACGGCAUGCAAAAAAAUCUAGCACCUAAGAAAGGCACUUUGAUUUCACUGAAUUGCAACCAUGAUAAGCACAGAGCCUCCUUUUUUCUAACCAGCCGUGUGAUUUGUUUAACCCUUAAAGUUAAAUGACCAAACAGGGAUUAAUAAGAACAUGCCACAUUCUUGCUCAUGAUUCAUGAAAAAGGCACUAUCUACACUACCAAUUUAAAGAAAUAAACUUGCAUCAGUUGGGAAACAACGAAUGUGUAUAGUCCAGUGCAGAAGAUAUUACUUGCAAACAAAAAACAUGCAGAAGAAAAAAAAAUACAGCCAAUAAAUGUAUUGCGUGUAACUAAACAGAAUUUAGUAAAACAAAGUUGGUUUUCAGACAGCGCAAUGUUAGUAUCAUCUCCAAGCAAUAUCAUAGUAUGAGAGAGUACCUGUAGGUUGUAGAGUACCACAAGCGAACUGUGCCAUCCUCUGAGCCAGUAAUUAUAGUAGGUAGUUCUGGAUGGAAACAGACAACGGACACAUUGUGUGCAUGUCCUUCAAGUGUUUGAACACAGCUCUUGGUUUGGUAAUCCCAAACCUGAUCCAAAAAAUUAAGUAAUAAGUCAGAUCAAUCCCAAUAUACCCUCACAAUAGCACAAUUCAUCGUAGAAGACACACCUUUGCAGUCUGAUCAUCAGAUCCAGUAAUUAAAAAUGGUCGAUCACCACUGGUGAAGUAAUCAGCACAGUUCAUGAUUAAAAAAAUGAUGUCAUACGAACCCACUGUCUCCCCGAUACUACAACCACUACAGAUUAUUAAUGAGGAAAUUAGAAAAGGCAGGGAUGGGGAUCUGCUAUACUUGGGGUGUGCAGAGGCAGCAGAGGCGGAGCUCCUUCCUGUGUGUGUGCCGAAUCUCCUCGUCCAAGGCCAACGGCAGCGAGCUCGCCAACCAAACCCUGGGUUAGGGCCACGGGAGGUGGAGGCGAGGCAUGCCAGCCGGGAUUUUUAAAGGGAACAUAGAGCAGCAUAAGCAUGAGGCAUAGAAAAAAUGGGGUCACCUUAAGGUCAAGAAUCAAUGGCCCUCUCUCAGUUCAAAUCAGAAGGAAAGAAAUACUAUUAUUGAUUAGAGUUAUUCUUAAUUAGGCAAAGCACUACAACACGGGAUCCUAAGCUACAGUUGAGGCAUACAAAACUAUAAGUGACUGUUCUUUUCAUAUAUAAACAACCUUUAGUAUCUCAACCAGAACCAAAGCAAAAAAAAUCAUGGUUAAGUAACCAGCAAAGGAAGAAUGAACCUUUUGGAUUUUUAAAGUAGCAAGACAUGAAAAGUUCUUUUUUGCCUUCAGUAUCACACACAGUAGGGGAGGUAGCUGCAGUUUUAUUGCACAGUGGGCUCAAAUUCACCUUUCCUCGAUCAUAUAACCUAACCCCAUCAUCUCUUAUCACCAGAUCAAUUUGUUUAUACAGUAGAGCUGCCCUGGUUAUCACUCAACAAGAAUGACCAUACAAGGACAACAACAAGUAUCUCAGGAUAAAAAAGGAUUCUAGAGACAAGGGGGAGGAUCCAACUUGAUACCCACAGGUGCCUCGACUGCUCAAAGGCACACUUAUUUCAGCGACGGUUAAUCAUCAUCGCCCUAGCAAGAAUGGCUUCCAACCGAUGGGGCACGUGAUUAACACGCGGUGGCACGCGUUUUGGACUACUAUUCAUUGCGACAGUUCCAAGGAUCGGAUCCGAUGGCGUAGGUCAUCCAGCGACUCGAUCCGACGGCCCAGAUCCGAUCACGCAACCAGAUCCAACGGCCCAGAAUCCAAAUCGCUGUGAGAGCUUGUAGGAACAUUCAUCUCUUAUUUCUGGAUGGAUGGAUCACCAGAUCAAUAUGUUAACUGCCCUGGUUAUCACUCAUCAGAAAUGACCAUCUAGGGACAGAGCCACUAAAAUAAGAACGUGAUCAAAACGGCUCAAAGAAAUGAGGGAGGAUCCAAAAUAAUAUCCACAAGUGCCUCGAUUGCUCGAGAGCAUGCCUAUAUCAGCCAUAACUGAUCAUCAUAGCCCUAGCCAUGUCCCAUUCAGUAGCCGAAGCAGGGCAGGGGAAAAUGGAGCUCACCGAGGGAGGUUGUAGCCGAGGCAGUACUCAGUGGGCGCCGGGGUUGCGCCUGAACACCAUCCAACUGGCGAGGAACCAUGUCGGAGUUGCGCCUUGCACCGUCCUGCCGACAAGCACGAACACCACUGGCACCGAAGCGGCCAAGGAGGCGAUGUGUAGCACAUCUAGGAGCACCAUCAGGGGCCUAGUCAGUUCUCUUUUAGCUGCAAUCAAGGAUAAGAUUUGUUAGAACAUUCUUGUGGCCAAAACUUAUCAUCAUGCAAGCGAUGGGCCUAUCUAUUAGCUGCUUGUAGUGCCGAAGGUAAAAUUAGAAGGCCUUUUACUGCCACCUUGCAUGAAGAAUUUCUAUUCACACAUGUGUACUGCUAUAUGAACCUGCACAUGCUAACUAAUUAAACAACAAAAGCUACUAAGAUGUGAACUGACUUUUCUCUAAGCAAGACUCUAGACACACCAAGAAGCACAGAUAAAUAAUCCCUGCUGGGCAGAAUACAUAGUCUAAUACGGUGUAACACUGACUAAGCCUGGGUUUGUGAACAGAGAUAAAUUAUAAAACAAUAUGGUAGGCCAGAAGGAGAGACCAGAAAGCUAUAUAGAGCACAUGCCCAAAGAAACUAAAAUCGAGCAUUGCAUUGACUGAAUAGGUAGCAAAGACGCAACCAAGUCGCAUAAUUGACUUGUUUCUAUUACUAAUUGCUUUUUAUCGCAACUCUAAAUAUAUGGUUGUAACUACAUAGUUAUAACCUAACUUACAUGACAAAAAUAGAACAUGGAUCUAUGAUUCUCCAAGGAGUAAUUAAUUUCCCUAAAAACAAUAAUUAAUAGUUCAAUAGUAGCUGAACUGAUAGCCAUUUUUCCUGGCGAUAUAUGGAUCAAUCAAUAGAGGGGUGUCAGGACUCACCGAUUGAGGAUGUAAGCGGGUAAAAGGGACGACCUCGCCUCAGCAGGGCUUAAUCGCAACCAGAAUAACAUUUUGUCAGUUUUUUUAGUAAUAUAUUAAUGUUUGGUUAAUGGGGCACCAAAGGAAUCUCCUAUAUGAUUUAGUGAUUAAAGAAUAAUAUUAAAUGAUGAAUCUUCCGUUGGUUCGCAAAGUAUGCAAUUUUUCUCUCAACUGAAAUGGGAACAACAUUUUGUUAGCAAUAUUUGGUUAAUGGAGCACCAACAAAUCUUCUAGAGUAUUUCAUUUUGAGGUUAAAGGGAAUAAGAAUAAAGGAUGUAAAAUAACCAGUGACACAUUAACUCUAACUGCACACUUGGCAAAGAAAUACAUUAGGUGAUUAAUGAUUAUCUGUAGCUAAAUCUUAUCUUAAGUACAACCAAGAUGAACAGAAACAUCUCACCUCACUUUUGGUGAAAACACUUUUCUCUGAUUGCUCAUUCCGUGACACCAUGGUCCGCUUAACGGAUCGCAAAUCGAUCUGCAACCACAUAAGCAAUCAUUUGCAUUAGAACAAGAGGAAUGCAAUGUUUGAUCUUUCAUAUAGUACUACCGAUCCUAGAGCAACACUAAAUAGGAGAUUAGUAACACAUAUCACUGUCCCGGCAAGAAGCAGAUCUCCCGGCAGUAACACCCAUCACUCUCCCGGUAGAAGUUGACUCUUCUUCAGAUUGUUGACCAUAUUCAUUAUUCACAAUAACAAAGUACAACUCCAAAUCUGAGAGCGCCGAUAAUGCUGAGCAUAGAAAAGUUUCUGUAGUUACCAUUAAUGUAAUCAGCGAGUACCAACUAUUGCUUGAUGCAUAUAUAAAAAAUCAGAAGGUUGUCUAUGUAGAUUUCUUCCUACCCAACUUUCCUUUAUCAGCAAGGAGUAACUGUUAUUUUUUCGUAUAUAAACAAUAAGCAGAUGGCCUAAUGGACUAUGUAACCUAUAGAUUAAUUAUGCAAGAAGUUACCAUUCCUAUAAUUAGCAAGCAUCAAUCAUUGCUUGGUGCAUCUAUAAACAAUGAGGAUGCGGUCUAAUUCUGGAACACAGAUUAAUUAUUUGUGUAGUCAGACUUCCUUUGUUAGGAAGCAGCAACUACUACCCGCUGCACAUAUUUCUCCCAAAUCACUAACCUGAACAGGCAUUGCAAUGCAUUGAAAACUGGGCACACCCUACAGACAUGGAUAUGAACCAAAAUGCAUAAUCUAGUUACCAAAUUCAAUAAUAAGCUUGAGUUCUGAAUGUAAGAUUACACAGAAACAUCCUGGGCAGAUAUUUGAACAAAAGAACCUAAGACAGAUUGUUGUUAAUAUAAUACGAUUGACACCCCUGAAUUGCAUUAUCAACUGUAUGAGUACAGAUUAAUUACCCCUGAAUAUAACCAAAAGUGGCAGAAGCUAUCUAGUUGGACAUUUUUCAGAACAGACCAGCACAGACCCAGCUUGUUGCAAAUAGAAUAGUAUAGUAAUUUUCUUAUGUAUAAUCAUACUACUAUCACUACAGCAUGUCAGCAUCACAAACCAAACCAAACCAAUUCACUGAUUUCCAUGUAAAAUAGCAUCAGUAGUACAGACAUGUAUGCACAAUAAUGUUUUUCUUUAUGUUUGCAAUGCAUGGUGUGUUAUCAAUAGCUUCUCUCACCAGUAGGUAACAACCACCUCCAGCUGAAAUUCCAUCACAUGUCAUGCCAUAAAUUGAAAAUCCAGCACAUAUAUCCGAUGAUAACACCUACAGAUUAUGUGCGGAUGCAAAACACCACGAUGGCAGCCCCAAUAAAAGGUACGUGCAGGAGGAGGGGAGAGGAGAAGAUCUCCAACCUCGAGUCGGCACACGAGCUGGGAUGGUGUUGGUGUGUAGGUUGCAUGCUGACCGAGAUCUCCUCUUCGUCCCGCAGUCUCCCUCUAUGCUUCCUCCUCGUCCU